CAGCUGCCAGUGCCAUUUUUGUGAUUUGCAGCUAGUAAUCUGGGUCCAGUUGCAUAGUCACAAAAGUGAGCAUUGGCAGCCGUGCCU
Chelonoidis abingdonii (Abingdon island giant tortoise) is the source of this 87-nucleotide microRNA precursor. The record is from Ensembl. Lineage: Eukaryota; Metazoa; Chordata; Testudines; Testudinidae.